RNAcentral lists this long non-coding RNA (212 nucleotides) under Gossypium raimondii (Peruvian cotton). RNAcentral describes it as "long non-coding RNA (GRAI_LNC001658)". Lineage: Eukaryota; Viridiplantae; Streptophyta; Magnoliopsida; Malvales; Malvaceae. The record is from RNAcentral.
UGGUAUUGAAGAAGAUCCUUCCCAUACAAAAAGAACUUCAUCCCAAGCUAGGAAGGACCUUAUGUGGAAGGCCUUAUUUGGAAAAGCGUCGAUUUUGAUCAAAAAGGAUAACAAGGACAUGUCUAAUCCUAUGAGUUCAGAUUCAAUCAAAAAUAUUUCAAAAUAUAAAAAAAACAAAAAAAAGAGAAAAGAAGAAAGAAAAUGGAGAGGCC